This 572-nucleotide unclassified non-coding RNA is filed under the name Hevea brasiliensis (rubber tree). Lineage: Eukaryota; Viridiplantae; Streptophyta; Magnoliopsida; Malpighiales; Euphorbiaceae. The record is from RNAcentral.
GAUGUUUUACAUCAACUUUUAGUAGCUGACCAUGAAACUCAACCAAGCCUUAGUCCUAAUUUAAUUUCAGGUUGUAGACUCUCAAAGCUUAAUGCCCAUGUAAUGCAAGAAUAAUAGGAUAAUUAUCGUAUCAUGACAUCAAAAAUUUCCUUCAUUUUGAAGGACCAAUCUUUUGAUCAGACAACAAGACUAAGUGAUGUAGAACCAAGAACGUUCAAAAGAGCAAAAUAAAAAAAAAAAAAAUUAUCAAAUUUUAUUAAUUACGUCAAUAAUAAUCAUAAUAAACUCUACCAAAAUGCCUAGAUUACAUAGAUAUUUAUAGUCUAAUAACUAGACUUACCACUACAAGGAUUAUGAAUCCCAAAAUAAGAAAAUAUUGAACCACUAUUGAAAUGCCAAACCAACAGCAAGAAAUUUUAGAAAAAAAAAAAUCCUAAAUAAUUAAAAUACUAAUUCCUAAAUAAAUUUCGUAAAUAGUAGAAACUUGAACUUCCUGAUUGUACUAAAACUAAAAAUCUGAAUUAAAUAUCUUAAUUUUACAAUGAAAUUUUAAAUCAAAAUAAUUCCUAAAU